Balaenoptera ricei (Rice's whale) is the source of this 5179-nucleotide long non-coding RNA. RefSeq lists it as uncharacterized. The transcript is spliced from 2 exons. The record is from RefSeq and is a predicted model, not a curated record. Lineage: Eukaryota; Metazoa; Chordata; Mammalia; Artiodactyla; Balaenopteridae.
CAGAUAUGGAAACUAAGGCUGGAAGCCCCCACGACUAGCGAAGCCGUUCCUGGGACAGGAAGCUUGCAGACGGAGAAGGGUGUUUCCGGAACUGAGCCUGCGGGUGGGGCUGCACUUGGGCUGGGCAGCACCCAGUGGAGAUGACAAAGAGACAGAGGCAGGUGCCCCCCCUGCACCACCACCCUCCAGCCGCACGCACCCACCUACGCAGCACAGCUGCCCGUAGAGGUAGCCCCUGCGGGCCUGCUCGCAGCCCCCAUCCAGCCAGCACGGCCGUUCCAGCACAACCUCCUUCUGCGCGGCAAGAGCGACUCCCGCCCCCUGUGUGCCGGGCGCAGCCAUGAGCUUGGGCGCCCUGGGGACAGCAAACAGGACAGUACAGCGUCUGCUUCCCAGCCCACCCGUGAGGCCGGGGCCGCCAGCUCUUCUCUCCACACCCUCCCCCGCCGCGGCGGCGGGCCAGACGCUGAGAAUCUGCCCCUGGCGGGCGCCCCGCCCAAUGUGAGCCUGGAAGCCGCGCCCCUACGUGGAGGGAGAGGACCCGGCUAGGCCUGGGGGACUGGGGGCAGGGGGAGGCUGCCCUCGAGGACAAAGAGGCCUGGGAACUCCCUAAGAUAACUGUUCCCGGGAUGACGCUCCCUGCAGGAUUCGAGGGAGAGGCUGGGGGCAGUGCGAGGAGCAGGGAGCUGAGAACAGCUGAGAACACAGAAGGAGCACCGCAGCCUCGAGGGGCACCGAGGGCAGCAGGGACCGGGAGCGGCCAGGACAGCGGCCGGAGGGGAGCCCCUUCCCCACGUGGGGACGGUGCACAGAAGCAGGCUGAGGGAGGGGGGGCCAAACCACAGCAAGGAAGUCCUGGCCCGAGUGUUCGUUUUAUUGACCGUCCCUGCAGCUGAGUCACCAGCUGCUCCCCAGCCCCCAAAGCCACGCCUAGAAGCCCCAUCCGGACUCAGACCUAGGGCCCAGCGGGCCCAGCACCCUUGCCAGGGGCCAGCCCUGGCCACCCCACUGAGGGCAAGCCUCCACACUCCAGGCUGUGCCCAGUGCAGACCGGCAGGCCCCCGCUGGGGCAGUCCCUCUGGCCAGAACCCCAGUCCCCAUGCCCCCGCCCCCCAGCUCAUUCACUUGAGUGGAGGCCCCACCCUCCUGGGCUGCACGCAGCUGCUGCCAAGGGCUACAGCCCAGAGCGGGUGACCUGGAGCAGGGGGAGGGCAGAGCACAGCCAGGCUGCCGGUCCCAGGCGUUCCUAGGCCCCGGCCAAGGGCGCUCAGGCACCUGCCUCACCUCCGUGCAAGGGCAGGGAGGCUCUGCCCAGGCCCAACCCCACCUCAGUCCUGGGCGGGAGCUCUCCCAAGACCUGCCCCAGGACACCCGACCUGCACCUGCCAGCUGCGGUUUCACCUGUGCUCACCCUGUCCCUGACUGCUAGGGAGGGGCCUCCCUUCCGGACUGGACGCUCCUGCACUGCCCCUGCCGCCCACUCCCCACCUGUCCAGAGCCCCCCUCGCCCAGCAGGGGGCUCCAAGCUAAUGAAGCCACAGAGCCCCGGCCCUGCCCAGAGAAGCAGGGUAGGAGGCGGAGGCGACACCGCUUCUGACCACGUGCCGGUGCUGCUUCCCCCGGGACGGAAGGGGAGGGCGUAGGGAAACGCAGGGGCGGGAGGGAGGCGGCCCCUUGCCUGCCCCGCCCUCAGCCCCCUGACGGGGUGGCGGCUGGUGACUGCAGCCCGGGCAGUAGCCACCAGCGGCCUUACCUUGCUCAUCCUGCACCCGCCGGCGCCCCCUGUGCCAGUGCCACACAGCGGCCAGGGUGACAACGUGGCCCACAACCACCAGGGAAGGGAACAGGCUGCCCGAGGGCUCCAUGGCUCUGGAGAGCAGAGCAGGCGGAAUCGCCCUUCGGAAGGACUGCUCGAGGCCGGGCAGCCCCCUCCCUUCCCCGAGCGGAGAGGACGGCGGGGGGUGCCCCGGGACCAGGGACCGCCCCCUGCAGGACCGCCCUACCGCCGGCCGCCUGGCGCCCAGAGACUAGCCCCGGCGCUGCUGCUGCUCCUGCUGCUGCUGCACCAACUGUGCUGCCGCCAGCCCCCUCCCUCCCCCUCCCGCCAGCCCCCUCCCUCCCCCUCCCGCCAGCCCCCCUCCCGCCCCCCUCCCCCUCCCUCCCCCUCCCGGCCGCUCCGCGCUCCCCACCCUCCCACGGCGGCGCCGGCUCAGCUGUCCCAGCGCAGCUAUCACGUAGUCACGCUCAAGGUUAGCGGGAGCCUUAACCCCUGCCCACCCUCGGCCACACCCGCCAGGAGGAGGGGCCUGCGGGGAAGCCAGGCCGAGCGGCAGCCCCCCCCAGCCUGGGCCCUGCGCGGCCUCAGUGCAGUCCUGCCCCCACCCCCACCGGGCGGGCGACCGUGGUGCCCGAGUACCCCACUCUGCCUCCGAGGGUACCCUCUGGUGGCAGCUGCCAGCGCCCCAGCCCUCGCUGGCCUCCCAGGCUGGCAGCUGACCCAACCACCCUCAAAGACAAGCGGCCAGAGCCCCGACGCCCCUACCCCACCACAGGGCAACAGACAGGGCGUGGGGGAGGGGCCCAGGUGCCGGCCUGGAGAGCAGACCGUGCACAGAGGUAAGGACAGAGCCUCCCACCCGCGGCCCCAGCCGGGCUUUCAAAGGCUGCCCCACCUACCCGGCACAAUCUUCAUUGGGGACAGCGGCGGGAGCCCACGGGUCCGACAGGGAGUGGGUGCGGGGUGUGGGGAGGGUCACAGGCCCCUCGGAGGCAGCAGUGAGCCCGGCAGUGGCGGUGGUGCCGCUGACAGCAGCAGUGCCUGUGUCCGUGGGGGAGGGGAGGGGUGGGCAGGGGGCCCGGGGGGAUAUAAAUAUCCAAGGAGGGCCAGCGAGGCCCGUCAUGUGUCCAGACUUAGAACAUGACGUGCAGAGCGAGGGCACCUGGGCCCAGAGCCUCGCUGGAGCCCAGGCUGACUGCGCGGCGCCACCCGACGCUCCCCCCAGGCUCCCACGGGCGAUUCUAAUAAUAAGAAGCCUCCUGGAACAGGCCGAGCACUGGCACGUGGGCCUUGGGGGCUCUCGUCCCCCUUGAAUGGGGCACAGCCCCGCCCUGCCGGCCUCGUGGGGUAGGGACAGCAGUGGGGGAGCACUGGGAAAGGCCACACAGGCAAGGGCUCCCCCCACCCCCCUGCACAAGUCACAGGACGCAACACCUGGCCCAGAGGGACGGGACGGCCUCCCCAAGGUGACAUCUCAGGCCAAAUCAGGCUGGGCCACGUGAGCGCCCGCCCCCCAGCUCGGGCCGUGCCUCCCCACCCCAGGACAGUCCCAGUGUCUACGCUGACCCCACCCAGACCCCAGCAGCGGUGGGUCUGCAGAACGCUUGGGGCUGAGGUACCGGCCCACAUCACAUCCUGGACUGACCCAGGCCUCAGCGCGCUCAGGAAACAGGACGUGGGGGUCACGGUCCUUCCCCUCUCCUCCCAGCAGCCUGGACCCCUCAGGCCCGAGGAGACAGAGCACUGGGGUUUGUACCCCAUUUUGUAGCGCUCCCCCUGUGUCCAGCACCAUUCUAUUCCAAUCCUCAGAGAAAGCUACGGAGUAAGCCCGGUGUAUUACUGCAUCGUACAGAUGAGGAAACCGAGGCACAGAAAGGGUGAGGGGCUCACCCUCGGUCACACAAGGCUGUGAUGUCAGCCCCGGCGGUCUGCCUGGAGUGCGUGGUCAGCCUGCAGCAAAGCACAGCAAACCACACUUGGCCUCUGGCCGCCGGGGUAGGGGCCCCCUGGUCCACGUGGGGAGGCCAGGGGCAACGAGAAGAGGGCCGGAGGGGUGAAGGGGUGGAGGGCCAGGCCACCCAAGCCUCCUGCCCAUCAACCCCGUGCUUCCGAAACUCACUUCUGAAGGAAACUGGCCUGCAGCGGCCAGCUCUGGAGGCUGGGACUGGGACUGAGCUUCUCAGAGGAGUCAACGGCCGGGGGAGAACCAGCUCCCAGAGGCAAGGGUGUCCCUCCCUCGAGGGUGGCAGGCAGCACCCCCCGCCCCCCCAGGGACCUGGGGCAGGACCUGCAGCUCCCAGAGCCUCCAUCCCACACCACACACCCCCGGGCACCUCUGAGAGGGAGCCGUGCUCAUCCCCGAGUCCCGAGUCCCAAGUCCCCGAGUCCCAAGUCCCGAGUCCUGCCCCUCCAAGGGCCCAAGCCCCAGGCUGGAGGGGAGAGGCCUGCAGCCGCCGCCCAGCCCUGCCCUACCUUGGCCCAGCUGAAUCAGCUCGUCCAUGCUGUACCUGUCCAUGGCUGCCACCACGGGCCAGGCCGCUCCAAGAGCCGGCAGACAGGAAAGGAAGGGAAGGCAGGAAGGAGGGAAAGGAUGGGAGGCGGAGGGCAGGCUCGCUGGAGCCCUGGCCUCCCCACCCAGCCCUGGGAGCCGUGGCUCCUCCUCACGGCCACCCCUUAGUCAGCAAGCCCAGGAGAGCCGAAGCCCAGCGGAUCAACAGGUCGGACCAGCCUGCCUGCAAUCCCUGAGCCCUCAGGCAGGGCCGGAGGGGCCACCGGUCUCCCUCCUGUGCCUGCCCGGCCCACCCCGCAGCCUCCCCCUUGCUGCACAGGCCCCACCAGCCUGCACCUCCCCGGCCCCUCCUGGACCCUCCCCGCCAUGUCCCCCAUGACCAGCUCAGGCGCAGCCACGGCAGCCUCCAGCCCUGACAAAGGUGACACCUCUUCCCCGAGUCCCAGCCUCUGCGCUCCUCCCCGGGCGCUGGCCUGCCCAGCCACCGCAGGACCCAGUAAAAGACAAAUCUAAUCCUGCUGUACCCUGCUUAGAAAACCUGCCAGAGUUCUGCAGAUUUCUCCGAAGACAGCCCAGACACAAAGCUGGAGACUCACGGAGGGCUGGCUGGGGCACCACGCGCCGUGAAAAGGAGCAUGGCAGCUCUGGGCGCUGACUCUGUGUCCCCUGCGUGGGGGACAAGCCGCGUGGGAAAGCCAGGUGCACAGCGGGGUCAGAAGAAGCAAGACCCCGAAGGCCACCUGCGUCUGCCGUGUAAGAUGCUGUUGGAGCACAGGUGCUGAGGGCGUUCAGAUGGUACCUGUUCUCUACAGAAGUUUCAGUUCACUCUGAAUUUUAAGCCACGCCGAGCAUUACCACUUGAAACAUAAACGAAAUUCAUAUAUAAAAAUCCA